This 497-nucleotide ribosomal RNA is filed under the name uncultured bacterium. RNAcentral's name for it is "partial 16S ribosomal RNA". It matches the Rfam family "Bacterial small subunit ribosomal RNA", at positions 28 to 507 of the family's 1533-position model. The record is from RNAcentral.
GGUGAACGCUGGCGGCGUGCCUAAUACAUGCAAGUCGAGCGAACGGACGAGAGGCUUGCUUUUCUGAUGUUAGCGGCGGACGGGUGAGUAACACGUGGAUAACCUACCUAUAAGACUGGGAUAACUUCGGGAAACCGGAGCUAAUACCGGAUAAUAUUUUGAACCGCAUGGUUCAAAAGUGAAAGACGGUCUUGCUGUCACUUAUAGAUGGAUCCGCGCUGCAUUAGCUAGUUGGUAAGGUAACGGCUUACCAAGGCAACGAUGCAUAGCCGACCUGAGAGGGUGAUCGGCCACACUGGAACUGAGACACGGUCCAGACUCCUACGGGAGGCAGCAGUAGGGAAUCUUCCGCAAUGGGCGAAAGCCUGACGGAGCAACGCCGCGUGAGUGAUGAAGGUCUUCGGAUCGUAAAACUCUGUUAUUAGGGAAGAACAUAUGUGUAAGUAACUGUGCACAUCUUGACGGUACCUAAUCAGAAAGCCACGGCUAACUACGUG